This 373-nucleotide ribosomal RNA is filed under the name uncultured organism. Its description in RNAcentral is "partial 16S ribosomal RNA". It matches the Rfam family "Bacterial small subunit ribosomal RNA", at positions 527 to 896 of the family's 1533-position model. The record is from RNAcentral.
GUAGGUGGCAAGCGUUGUCCGGAAUUAUUGGGCGUAAAGCGCGCGCAGGCGGUUUUUUAAGUCUGAUGUGAAAGCCCACGGCUCAACCGUGGAGGGUCAUUGGAAACUGGAGAACUUGAGUACAGAAGAGGAAAGCGGAAUUCCACGUGUAGCGGUGAAAUGCGUAGAGAUGUGGAGGAACACCAGUGGCGAAGGCGGCUUUCUGGUCUGUAACUGACGCUGAGGCGCGAAAGCGUGGGGAGCAAACAGGGAUUAGAUACCCUGGUAGUCCACGCCGUAAACGAUGAGUGCUAAGUGUUUGGGGGUUUCCGCCCCCUUAGUGCUGCAGCUAACGCAUUAAGCACUCCGCCUGGGGAGUACGGCCGCAAGGCUG